RNAcentral lists this ribosomal RNA (490 nucleotides) under uncultured bacterium. Its description in RNAcentral is "partial 16S ribosomal RNA". It matches the Rfam family "Bacterial small subunit ribosomal RNA", at positions 30 to 507 of the family's 1533-position model. The record is from RNAcentral.
AUUGAACGCUGGCGGCAGGCCUAACACAUGCAAGUCGAACGGUAACAGGAAACAGCUUGCUGUUUCGCUGACGAGUGGCGGACGGGUGAGUAAUGUCUGGGAAACUGCCUGAUGGAGGGGGAUAACUACUGGAAACGGUAGCUAAUACCGCAUAACGUCGCAAGACCAAAGAGGGGGACCUUCGGGCCUCUUUCCAUCGGAUGUGCCCAGAUGGGAUUAGCUAGUAGGUGGGGUAACGGCUCACCUAGGCGACGAUCCCUAGCUGGUCUGAGAGGAUGGCCAGCCACACUGGAACUGAGACACGGUCCAGACUCCUACGGGAGGCAGCAGUGGGGAAUAUUGCACAAUGGGCGCAAGCCUGAUGCAGCCAUGCCGCGUGUAUGAAGAAGGCCUUCGGGUUGUAAAGUACUUUCAGCGGGGAUGAAGGGAGUAAAGUUAAUACCUUUGCUCAUUGACGUUACCCGCAGAAGAAGCACCGGCUAACUCCGUG